UCAAAGCAUGAAAGAGUCAUCGUCGCGGUCCAAGAAUGAAGGUCGAUUUCGAAAGUGAAUUGAGACAACAUGAAGGACACUGUGGAAAGCAAAGCGGGCUACUUGUUUGGGCCAUAAGAAUUCACAUAAAGGCGUACAGAAAGUGCAUUUCACUCUUUGAUAAACGCGUGUGGAAGCAACCUCUAUUAUUUUUUGAUAAAAGAUCUUUCUCCACGUCAUAGAGCUAUACUUGAACGUUUUAAAAAUACUUACAUAGAGUUAAACAUACGAUAAGAUUUAGCUUAGCAUUAAAUAUAGAACAAGAAAGAAAAAGGAGGGAAAACUGUGAGAAUAAUUUAAAACCGGAUAGCAAGGAAACGCGUAAAUUCAGUUGGUUCGCGAAUAGUCGGUUUCCAACUAAGUUCUGUUGUUCCAUGCGUGAAUGAGGGCGUAUUACUUAACGUCGACGUAGAGAUUGACCAGCUGAUUACAUAAAAUGUUGUCGAUUUGUGUCAUGAUUUUCGGCAUCGACAUUGAGUUAGAAGCGAUUUCGCAUGUGCGUAUGUGCGCACCACCAAGAUCGGCUCAUGAUCCGAAAUUCACCGCGUACAUUCGCUUACGAAAGUGGCCACAUAAUUUUUGUUAUGGAUUACACGAUUGAAUAGUCUCACGCAACUCAUGGGCCGACCAUGAAUCGUCACGGCCUUGAACCACUAUGUCCACCAUAGUUUCGUCGUUUCCAAUAACGAUCAGCCAAAUUUCACUCGUGAUCGUAGUCAAAAUUGGUGAUAGCUGUCAACUUGCCCCACACGUAUGAUCCAUAAGUAUGAAAUACCUGUUAAUUUUGUUAUCUUUCCAACUGGAAUUCAGUUAGAUUACUGAGUCGUUGCAGUUAGGAAAGGAGCUAUUAAUGAAGUUUCUUCUGCUAAGAAAAUGAGAUGAUUAUCACGAAGAAGCGUUAAGUGACACGUGACAGGAUGUUCGUUAAUUCCUCGAAACGAUUUUCUCGCAAAGAAUUUCGAAGAUACGGAAGAGGAGCUUCGCGCGAGAAGAUAAUUAUUUGUGCCUAUACAGUGGGUGCCAAGGAUGAUUAAUUAUGCCUCUGUAAACUAACUGGCCAGCAACUUAUCUACAUCCACCCAGCAUGCUCUCUAUGCUGGUGGACGGUUUGGUAACCCGUUGAAUUUCGCUUUCAAUACAACUCGGUCGACGAGAGAAUUCUCGUCAAGGCCAAUCGAGAACGGACUUGAAUGGAUGUCGUCAUUUAUCAUCGGCCAGCCGGUCACCGAUUUGUACACGGACGCGGAGUCUCGAGGACUACCUACUACUUUAACGUCCUACCCUUUCUUCUCCUGUUUCUCUCUCUCUCUCUCUCUCCCUCUCUUCAGUCAAAGGAAAAAUACCAGAAAUCAAGAUUUGCCUUCGUGGAUGCCAAGAAAAUCGACAAAUAUUGACUAUGGAGUUUGCAAAACGCGCCAUAUGCCGUUGAUCAUAUCUGUACAGAGGCUAUUAGAACCGAACAUCUUCUAAUUUGUCCAAGUUUCUUGUUCGAAUCUAUUUAACUCGUGUUUCCUGUUCAAACAUUGAACGAAGAUUUUGUGCAACGCAAAUUAGAGCCCUCUUGCACAAUACCUCACUAAUAAUAUCAGUGAAUUCAUACAGAUUACAGGUUGUAGAUUAUAGACCAGUGCUCUGUAACAUUACUUUACAAUUGCAUUACAAUUCUUCCGUGGAAUAGGAUAAUCAAAUGACUUGUAUUUGUCAAAUGGGAGAUAUUCAUUGCGUUACUACUCCUUGAUGUCUAAACUUCUUAAAUUCAUAAAUUUAUUUAUUGCAAGAAAGUUACAUAAAUAACAAUAAAUUCUAAGAUAGAAUUAAAGAACAGCAACUGCGUGUUAUUACUCUUCUGUAACUUUUAAUCGAACGUGGCCUUUGAUAACGUCUCAUUUAUUAAAAUCAACUUCGAACUUGUUACUUGUAAAAUGUCACUAAUAAUCUAAAGCAACUGUGCAAGAUGAUCCAGAUGUCACAGAUCAUCUUUGUACAAAGUCUAUUAGACUAAAAACAUCCUCAUUUUUUUCUCAUCCAAAUUUGUAUAACGUGAUCUGAUUUGAAAAAUUUGAAAAACGUUUGAUAAGGACAUCAGCGUAUUGUAAGUUCUAAGACAUGGCAUGGGAUAGGAGUAUCGAUCCAGCGAUAAAGGUAUCGAUUUUCGUGCCAAGUAGGAUGGAGCGUCGGCAAUGAUUCGUCGGCUCUGCGAUGGAUCGCGAUCGCGUGGCUCGAUCGUCUCGUUUGCUUGCAAAAUGAAAAGUCGAAAACGCGCCGAGCAAGCGAAAUACCUCGCGAAUAUAUUGCGAAAGCUGUAUACAUUAUAAUGGGCCGGGCGCAGAAAACGGGCCAGCGGCGACUCGAUGAGUCUUGGUGGGUCUCGGUAGCACACGAGGACUCGAUGAUUCGAUAGCUCACGGUGGCACACAGUGUCUCUGUGCGUACGUUACGCAAGGAAUCAUUCGCUCGUGCCUGCGCUCGAAGCUGUGUCUCGACACUGGAAUCGUCGUUAACUAUGGGAUGAACAAACCACUGACCUCAAUAUCCACGCUGGCUAAAUGUUUCGUUUCACUGGCAACAACCGCAAGAAACGACGCAUACUGUUGUAAAUUAAUGCACCGCGGUGACUCGAUCGCGAUUUACAUACGCUGUGAGAUAGGUCAGUCUUUUCGACAGUAUCGUGGAAUCACGUUGUACAACUGAUCGAUACGACAUAGACAUUGUGACACCAUUACGAAGUAAUUGCACAAUCACACGUGACCCAUCGUACUAGACUGUUAAUUGCUGGAAGGUGUUGGGUCGCGUCAAGGUUGGGAACUGUAGAUAAGUAAAAAGUGGGGAGGCCUAUGAAAUUGAAACGUAUACGCGACGCCAUCGACCAAAUAAACCGAGAGCAACACAAUCUCGUUUAUUUCUGAAAGAAGAAUUUCGCGAUGUGCAGCAUCAAGGUGUGAACAAGAUUCUUGUAAUAAGUCUUGUAAAGACAUUUCCGACGUUGGAAUACAACUUGAAGAAUCGAUGUGUCCCUCCUAAUUUCAUUUUCGUUCAAUAAUUGCAACUCUUUAUCAGUCACGCAAGAUACCCAUUGCUGUUAUAAAAGCUUGAAGAAGCGUGCAAUAGAAUGUUACAUUGUUCCUCAUGAAAUCGAUACAAUAGCUCGCUGUUAGCAAUAGCGAGGAUCUUAAUUAUUCAAGUGGAUUAUUGUCGGCCAGAAAUGAGAUUCUAAAUUCUGUGUUCUAUAUAUCGUCAGAAUGUUACCUGCAGCUAUGAUAGCUACGAUCAUUGAACAGGAAGAAGACAGAAGACCUUAGAGAUUCACCGUAUAUCAUAAUGUUACGUAAAAUACGACCUAUUUGUAAUUCGAAUGAGAGCCAACAUGGCGACAAAUAACUUGUCUUCUCCUUCGAGAAUCGUGUUUUAUGUAUCAAACACAACAAUAAAACAGCAAAGAAAUAUCUUUAACGUAUAUAGCGCAUGUCGAGAUAUCUUUGAUAUAGAUUUGGUAUUUCAGAUAAUUUUUAUCGUAAAAAUUUCACAGGAAAUUAGACUUGAUGUAUACUUUCGCGACAAGCUAACUUUGAUGUUCGAAUAUAGUUUGCCAAAAAAAGAAGUAUAAUUCGUGGAAACCCGUUUCGUGGAAAGUUUUACGCUUAUUAUGACAUCAUAGUUCGUAUCGCACAAUGACAUAAUCUAUAUUUGUACCAGCGAGUAAUUCAUGAUACGAAUUGUCGGUAAUUAUGUUGUGUAUAAGAUUAUGAUGCUAAAGUGACGAAUACAUUGCGAUCGGUUGUACAUACGUGUGAGUCACAGUAUUCGACGGAAACUGAAGCUGUCAAGCAAUUAUGCUGGCGUAUAGCUUUUAAUCUUUAAUCCUAGCGUUCGGUUGGUACAACAAAGACUUGUUGGAUUGAAAGCGGUAAUGUACGGCGACAAGACUGUUUAUGUCGCAUCUGAAAUACUCAUAUUACCUCGAUAAAUCUUCGAUGAAGAGAGUGACAUCGUAAACAAUAUCUUUGAGAAAGUGAAAAUUCAUAUCCUUGUAAACAGAAUUGACGAAAUGGAACUCACAGACAGAGGAUUGUUUCACUCAUUAAAUAUCAUAUAGUGCCUACUUUAUUUUAGAUAUUUUAUGUGUCUCUGUAAUAGACAUGAGACGCAAUUAUAGACUCAAUUAUAGACUCCAGUAUAUAAUGCUUUUGCAUUUUCAAAUUUCCUCUAAAUAUAUAAACGUUGUAAAUAUGUAUAAACAUAAGUUUAGUAAUAUUAUUAUCGAUAACAAAAAUAGAAUAGUAGUUAUAUAAAACAAAAAAAAAGAAGGUAAGGCCAAUAAACGUAAAAAAUAUGUACAUAAUUGUAGCAAUUGGUAGUAAUGAUAUAAAUCGUACAUACAUAUAAACAAUUUUACAUAAUAAAUAGAAUUAAUUAUAAGCUUAUUAAUAUUAAUUUAUUUCAUUUAUUUCGCAUAUUAUUGAUUUACGAUUUCUAACUUUAUUAAUCUACUUUUUAUUAUUUCGUGAUGAGAGCAGAUAACGUCAAAUAUCAAAGGUGUAACCACUAAUAAUUUAACGUCUAUAUAUAAUAUAUAUUGGCGAGCUAGCUCUUUUCAUGAAUCACGAUUGAUUUGAAUCUUUAUUCCGAGACUCAAUCAGUCGAUCAAUUUUCAAUGUGUUGUUUAUAGUGUAAGAUAAGAAUGAAUAUAAAAGCUUUUGAAAUACGUAAGAUCUCAUUGCAGGGAUAUUAGGAGAGUUUAUAAAAGAUUGUGCGAUGAUGAUUACACGCUACAUUUUUAUUUGAUUGAAACCGCAGCCAGCGGAUCUAUUUGCCCCCGAUAUAUCUAAAUAUACUGCCAUUUAUUGGGAGUUUAACGAAACGAGAGAUGGUCCUUAGCAAAUACGCGAAAUUGCAACAUCGUUGUGCAAGAAAUUUGUAAUUGGCGUUAUACAAUACCGCGAGUUAAUAAUAUGGAACUAACCGACGCAGCAGUAAUACACAAUUUAACGGUAGUUCGAGCGUGCCACGUAUAUAGAAAAUAAAUUUUCGACGGAAAUUGUAAUCAAGCUUGCGGUCGAAACGAAAACAUUACACAUUGUGAUUCUUUAAGUUAAGUAUAUACAGGGAUUAUUUAUCGUGCCUCAAACGAUCUUACGAGCGAUCAAGGUGUGUUGCAAUGGAAAGGUCUGGCUCCAAUUAAAUUAGAUUCUACUACUGUGACGGCUAUGAAACGCAAGACAGAUGUUUCAGUUUGUUUAACAGGACCCCGGUCUAACCGGUUUCUAACGCUUGUAUCUGCGAUGCGUGAAAUUCGGUCAACGCAUAAUCGACCGCGUGGAUCGUCAAAAUUCGCGAAACGUUAAUUCGAGAGGGCAGACUUUGGAAUAGUUCGAGGUCUCUGAACCAGUACUGGAACAUAUCCAAUCCGUGGUAGAGCGAUCGUGAAAGUGGUUUCGCGUGCAUGUCUAUCCUCGAUACGCGUCGCGAUUCGCGAUGCCGAUUGGAGCAAGAUCGAAAUUUCGUCGAUGUUUCGUUUUUCUUCGGUUACUAUGUCUUAGGUUUUAGGCUACCAUAGCAGAUACCUUUUUUAACCAACUAUAUCGUUCUAUAGGUGCGUUUAGAUUUAUGAUCAAGCGAGUGAAUGCUCGUUCUUACCUCACUGUAGUAGAAUUAACGCGUAAACAUUCUGUUUCUAUUUCACGAUCAAAGAAUGCAUUUAUAAUUAUAACUUCUUCAUCAGAUAUCGUUGUCACGAGAUCGAGCGAGGUGGAAAUAACUAUUUAAUAUUCUAUAUACUUUAAUAGUCUAUUUUCUACGAAUAGGUAUGUACGUAAGUUUUCGGUUUUUGGUGUAAAUGACUUUACGAACAGAUUGUUCGAAACCCGUUUACAUCAAAUGAGUACGAGUGAAUGAUCCCAAUCUCCCCGUAUAAUCUUGCUUCUUUAGUCUCAAUGCACCCUAACGAAUACGUUAGAGCAGUCAAAUACGCGUAUAAACUCUUAUGAGUGUUCACAUUUCGGUUUUCAGAUGUUUGAUUCAAAUCAGAACGAUAGUUCUUUGGGACAAGCAUUCACUGUGAUCAUAGUCUUAACAAUAUUUUCCAAUUCAUCGUGACUCAACUUCGAUCGAAGCUCGGUUGAUUGCUGGAACAAUGAAAUUGAAGAUUUCUGCAAUUCGUUCCUCUGAUUUGGAGAAAUAAAAAAAGAUCCAACUUGUUUCAUAUUUAGGUUUACGUCGGUUUCAAGACAAUUCAUUUGGGGCCGCGAGAUUUCACAGUUAUUUCUAACAUGUCACGUGAAAGUGACCGCGUCAGGCGUCAAUUUGUAUGUCUCGUGACAAGCCUAUAUUUAGGACAAACGGAAUUCCAUCAACAUGGAUAAUAAUUUCGAGUAUCGACGUUCUGCAACGGGGAACUGCAGCAUAGAUUGAACGUAGGGUUGCUCUGUCUUGUUAAUUUUGUCGUAGUACCAUACAAUACGCUACAAACCGUGUAGCAUCGUAUAGAUCGAAAAGAAGUUACGAUGAAUGUAUCGUAAACGAACGAAGGAGCAGAAUAAAAGAAAAGAUAGGAACAUAAGAUAAUUGUUCUAUUUUUCAAUCGAAUAUUUGCAACCACAGAAAAUUUAUAUGAAUAAAUUAUACGUGUCAUAUAAAACAUUUUGAAAUUUCAUUAACACGAGACACGACUGUUAUGAUUGUAUUGGUCAAAUUUGAAACCGAUUGGAAAAUGUACACGAAAAUUACAAAAUAUUUACUACAAGCGAGUGAGCCGUCACUUCAUCAAUUUUCAAAUAAGAUUUGUUCAAAUGAAAAUGAAAUGAAAUAAAGGGAUUUCCAUACAAAUUUUAAUGUACAGUUUAGAUUUAUUUUCGCGCGUAGAAUAACCUUUUGUCGAUUAUUCACUUCUGUCAGGCCGGCAUUAGUCGUUUAAGUAUGUUUGACCAAUUUCCAAACUCGGUUUUCCCGAGAAUGAAGCGCCAUAUGAACAAAUUUCAUUCUAUGGUCUCGAUUUAUUUUCUCAUGUAGAUAGAAUCAGUUCCUUUGCGUCGAUUAUAUGAUCAUUUCCGAGGCACUCCGUAUAGACUUGUAUUCGAUUGUGUCGCGGUGAUACAUGACAGAGCAGUCGGUGAAACGGCAUACGGCGGGAAAGUCGAAGGCGCGUGGCUUGUAGCCGCGUCGCGCCGGCACGAAACUGCAGGUUUAACUAUUAUGGAGCGACGCAACCGGCCGGUGAUCUUAAGUAAUACGCGAAUUGUUGCGCGUUCGAGUAACAAAAUAAAAAGAGAUGUAAGAAAACCAUCGGCGGGAGGAGAAAAGGAGAACAUGUAGCUGUUUUGAGGAGCAUUAAGUGAAGAGACAGAGAGCAAAACUUCAUUGGUGGAGAAAGAGAGAGAGAGAGAGAGGGGGGGCGGGAGAGAGGCAGAGAGGAGGGCAACGAGAGAAAGGAAUAAGCAGACAUGCCUCGUUGUUGACACUCACGAGAAAUUGCGGCCACGUAUUCGCAAAUAGAAGUGUACGACAUGCUUUUCAGCUGAUUGUAGAUCGCACGAGUACUCUCUGUCGAUUGAAUCAUACAUCUUUUAGCGUUCUGAACCGCUUAUUCGUGCACGGAUCUUCCAUCUUCGCAUCUUCUCGUCGCGACCUCGACCGUCUCGCUUCCGGUGGCUCUGACACUUCAAGGAUCUUUGUUAAUUAAACAUACGCUAUUGUAUGUCGAGUAUUAUAGUAUUUGUAAAGAUUCCGUCACUGACAAAUUAAUCCUCUAAUUUUGAUUGUAUACGUAAAUGAUAGGACUGCGAUGAACGAUAGAAUUUUAUUACAGUGGAACUCUGUUUGUACGAAUUUCGUUUACUGGAACAAACUUUUAGUGCCCAAUUAAUGGAAGUGCUAACUGAAUCCAUUUAUCUGAACGUAAACUUCUAUCCAUUUAUAUGGACGAGAAAUAAUAGGUAGCGGAGAGAAUCAAUAUGAACUCCAAUUACGUAAACUAUUUGUCCUACUAUAUUCUUACUUUCCAAGUGAAAUCUUAGAGUUAGAAAUAUUUCGUGAACAGAAGGACAGCUUCUUUGAUCGGGCAAAUUUUAAUUUCAUGUUCUGCAAGGUACUAGAACCGCCAACAUUCACUUCUCCCUCUUACUAUGCUAAGUCCAGGAGCGAGAUGACCUGGUCUGCAUGUUGCAAAAUCCCUACCAGUUUGACUAAUUGCAAAUCGUGAUAGAAGCUACAAAGAAGAAAGUUUCCACACACACACGGAAAACUGCUUCGUUAGCAAGGCCGGUACUUAUAGUUUUUCAGUCGUCAUCGUUCAAUAUUUCGCGCUUUUUCACGUAUGUUAAUUAGACAUGUCGGUAAACGGUCGGAGAUGUACGGAUGUUUAAAAAAUAACUCAUUCAAUUCAAAUUCACAAAACAGCCACAAGCACUUACGUCGAAUAUGUGUAUUUAUUCCACUCCUCGAUUGGCAUGACUUUGGAAAUACGUACACGUAACAAAAUCGCGAUACGUGAAAUCGUCGAACGAGACCAUGUCGAGGUCACGAUAGUUUCUGUAUUCACGACGUUAAUUAGAUACGUAAUUUUAUCGUACGCGGAAAGAAAGGGGAACGACUCGAGUCAUUGGCAAUUGCCUCUGAUCUUUGUUUCGCGCCACGAAUUCAGACUUGAAACGGUCAUCUACCGGUGUAUAAUAAAUGCAAGUAAUAUAACGAGGUCAGACGAUCGGUCAAUGGAUAAAUUUACAAUUUUACAAUUUUCGACGAAGGUAUCAUUGUAGGUUCACCGAUUGAUUUUAAAUCAAUUUCCACAAUUAAUAGCAGUUCGACAAUGCAUUAUAAUCAGUGAUGCUUUCAGAAUAUAUGUAAAUUAGAAACAAACUAUAACCGUUUUUUUUUACAACGCGACAAUUUUUUGUAGAUAUAUUACAAAGGAAGAACUGAUUUACAAUUGACAUCGUAUGGAUCUAAACGAAGAUCUUUUAGACAGAUAUUAAUUGUUGCGACCAUCGAAAGUUGUAAACUCCAAACACUGUCUGAUUUUACGACUUCAGCGUAUCGUUUCCAUCUACUAUACGUGUAUCGUAGUAUUCGUCAAAUUAAACUAUUUAUUUCACGCAUCAUACAUCAUUGAGAUUGCGGCGUUGACUAUGUUUAUGUUGGAUGCAUCUAUUAUCGUUAUUGACUAUCGCUCACUGAAUGGACUACGAACCUGGUCGAGUAUUAGGAAAUACCUGUAUAUUUUGACCAGUUUUAUCCGCCAUUUUUAUUGCGAAACAAAUUAUUAGUGUUCAUUACAAGUGGUAGAGAUCUGGUGGCAAGUAUUCACACAUUAAUUCCAAGUACUAUUAGCAAACGUAUUGAUUGGUGUUUGUAAAAGGCUCGAGCGGAUUGUAGAGGUUGCUCGACCGGAUAUACCGAACGUAAGGGAACAUACAGCAGCAGCUUUAUUGCGCGCAACGUGCGAGGGUUUACGUUCACGAUUAGAUAUACGACGAAAGAAUGCACGCGUUAAUUCAUUAAACACCACACAGCAAAAUAAUGUGUACACGUUGCAGAAAUACAACAUUAUUAUAAAAUGUAAAUGAAAUAUCCGUUACCGUUUUAUCAAGUCAAAUAUAUUAGAGUAAUAGAUUUUCAAUAUAUUGAAGGAACCUAUUACACAAAUCGGAAGGAAAUCAGAAACAAAAAGAAUGUUUAUGAUACGAAAACUGUUAGUUUCUUCUUGACCAAAAUCGAUAUAAAAUACUUCGAUUUCUGCAAAUCUCAUAAAAUUUAAUAUCUAGAUCGAAGAAAUUCUUAUGAUUCUGUUUUUGAUUAGUUGUAAUGUUAAUUCAAAAGAAUUCAAUAAUAUCAAUUCACUUGUGGAUAAUGUAAACUGACUGUAAUUGACUGAAAAGGAAUUACAAAUGAAAUGUGGCGUUAACUCAACUUUAAUCCUUAAUGAGUUAACACAUGGAGUAAAACAACUAGGAGAUAAGUCGUCAGGGAUGACGUGACACACAGAUGACGUGAGACACAGACAAGGUCAGAUACCUCGAUUUCCUACAAAACAUCUUCGAGCGAUUAACAAUUAAAUUACUCUAAACUAGUUUUUUCCUUAUUUUGAAAGGAAAAAUUUGGGGGAAGUUGAUCCAGUCACGCUAGUUUUUUCUUCUACGAGACAAAACUUCUAAAAGACACUUUUAGCGGAUAAAACAUUUAACAUUUUAACCGGUUCUUCGUUAUAUCUUUGUUGAACAGUGACGUCACUAUGUCUUUCUUAAAUUUGAUUUCUGUGAAAAAUAACGUUAUCGUAUCCUUCGUGAUGAUAAUAUUUUUCCUGAAUGACAAUCGCUGUUACAGUAUUAACGAUAUCAAGGAGAAAUCACAUGCGCUGCCUCUCAGGCACGUUCGAAUUAAUUACAUAACGUUCUUGUGACUUUUAGUUUAAGAAUGCUAAACUGCGUCGAAAUAUUAUUAACGAAAAAAAAAAAAAAUGUCACAUUAAAAUAAUUACGCAAGCCCAUGUUGCAUCAUGCAACAUGAAAACCUCAAUGUGGUAAAUCGUUGCUGUGUCAUCCAACCCGAUAAUAUGACAGAUCUCAAUAGUUAGCAAGUAACAACAGCUCGCAAGGAGAUUCGGGACAAAAAAAAGUUGAACAUGUUCGACAAUCAGUACAGUAUUUGCUUCAGUGUUAUUUCACGUAAUCUUGAUUGUUAUUCCCAUAAACAUAACAUCGACGUUUAUUAUGCCAACUAAUCGAAUAUAUGCAACUGUUUUUACACAGUUCUGUUUUCCGAUCGUUUGUUGUCUUUAUGAAUUUUCUAGAUACGAAAACAUUCCUAAUUAAAACACGUCAAGGCAGAGGCUCAUUGGUGAGCGGAAUACAAAAACUUCCAGAAAAUUCUUUAGAAUUCCAAUGUUUUAAAGGAAGGACAAAUUAUGAAGAAACAAUUAAGAAAAACAAACAAGCAAAUAGUAAAUAACGUAUACUUCAAGCACGUUUUUGCCACAUGCACAAAGCAUGUUCAAGAAGUCACGUUUGUUCCCGCGAAUCGCUUUCCUCGUCCAUUUCUGAAAUUUCAUCGGGCAAGAUUAUUACACACCGAUUAACCUUUUUUCUUCCAAAAUCAAAGCUAGGUAGGACGAACAAGUUCUCCAUAAUAAGAAGCGCGGGGAAAGUACAUAGCUGCAUGAAGCUGCAACCUGUCGAGAGCUAUGAUGAUUUAAUGGUACUUCAAGGCGGUAUAUUGGUUAGAAAGAAGAAGCAACCCGAUAGUAUCCAUUUACGUAACGAUCGUAUUAAAGUCUUUUCUUGACAUAGUUCGAUAAUCACGAAAAAUACGCGCAGAAUAGAUGAACUAUUGCCAGUUGUACGAAAUUAAGAAGACUUUAUGUUGCGCGGGAGAUUUAACUAUUUGAGAGCUCCACCUUCUCGUGGAUUGAUAAUUUGUAUUAACCACGUAGUAGUUGUGCUAUGCAAUUACAGUAUUCCAUUUGCAAAUUGUUUUCUUUAUUAUGUGAGAUAAGUCGAUAAUUUAAAUUGUAUAACAAUUUUGGUUCAUCACUAGACUGCGGAUUCGUAUUUAUAUGAAGAUAAAUAAAAGCGUAAAACUUUUGUUUCAUUUAUCAGAUAUUAUACCUUGUUUAUAUAUUUUUGUAUAUUAUGUACUUUAUAGUUCCUCACUUUUAAAUUUUCCACGAGUGCACAAACAUCCGCAGUCUAUUCAUCGAAUUACCGAAUAGAAAGCUAUAUAUGUAAUUCUGUUAAAAGAUCAAAUGACAGGAAGCGUAUAAAGAUUUUCUUCAUUCAAAGGAGUUCUAAAUCCAAGAAUGUUUCCUUGGUAUCGAGGAAUGUUACAAUUAUAAUAACUUACUGAUUGGAUUUUUCCGACCUACAGUAGAAUAUAAAAGUAAUCAACAAUCUAGCGAGAAAUUUAAAAAGUACAGAGAGAAAGCAAAACUCGUUUCGGUUUCUUUCAGAAAAUUUGCCGGGUGUCGCAACGUCCUCUCACGUAAUAUGUAACCAAGUAGAUAUGUUGCCGCGUGAUUGCCAGAGCGCGUUCAAAUCACCGCGUAUCCAGAGCUAUGUGAGAAAUCAUCGAUCUGUGAUAAAUUUCGAUAAUCGAACACUAGUUAUGCGUAAGCUCUCGGUCGCUAGGCCUCCAUAAUAUCCAAAACGAAUUGCCUUGUUCACCAGUUCGUAAGACCCAAGGAAUUCCAAUGGUACUCCACCCAAUACUUUUAUAUUACAAACAUAUACACAACAUUAAUGUCGAUUAAAACGAUUCGAGCCACUCAAAGAUAAGUCACGUUACUCUCUUAACUAUAUCUACGUGUACAACAUUUUUUAUCAAUAAGGAACAUCCUGGAAAUAAACGCGUAAAAAAUCUAAAGUCUAUUUACGAUGCUCAUGAUGUUAUUUUAAUAACAUUUUGUUGAGCAAUACGCAUUUAUUUUGAUCAGUAUGUAAACAUGUGACAUUAGGUUUUAACCAACCAUUUCGAAUUCAUCGCGAACUACGGCAGCCAGAAACUUCCGUCUCGCGCGUAUCCAAGGCUGUUAAAGCCUAGAGGUCAGACGUUCAAGUCGUUCUUUGGUAUUUGAGCAAGGAAUUGUUUCACGCGCGAUGUUUGUCAGAGGAACAUAUAUCGUUAACUAAUAUAUGAUGAAAGUGCGUAAAUGAUUAGUGCGGCUGUGUUAUUGACCCAAAUUGUUUUUCUUAAGUGUGUGAACCGAAGCGCACUUAUGAAAAACUAUGAAAUGCAACUAAAUACAGCAACAUGAAUACGAUUGCAGUUCGAUUUUAUGGAAACAUAAUUUCAAGCUUAUGUAAUCGACCAAAGAGGAUGCACUUCGUUCUUCAUUGUAUUUAAAAUUCUAUCUAAAAUAUAGGUAAUAUGAAUUAUAUACAUACAGGUAAUAAUUAUUAAUAUUGGAAAUAUUCUACCUUCCCUUUUGUAAUUAUAUCAGCGAACAAGAUGUUCCUUAAUUAAAAAUUCUUCUUUGUUAUUUAUUAUUUUCGCUAAUACCUAGAGAAUUACGAAAGGAAUAUUAAUACCGCGAUAAAAAAAAAUCCCCACAUAAUAGUUAUUCAUGAACAAGUAAUUUUGGACUAUAUUUCAUCAUGGACAUACAUUACUGUUCAUGAUUAUUCGAACGACUACAAAAGUCUAUGGGCAUUGAAUAAUUGAAAUUUAUUUAAUUAAUACAAUGAAGAAGACAGUGUUCAAAUUCUUCAUUGUUCCAAUAAAAUAUAUUGUUAUAUAUAUAAUAUAUAUUAUUAUAUAUACAACAAUUUAGUAAUUAAUAAUUAAUAUAGUAUUAUAUAUAUGAUUGUUCCAAAUAAAUAUAUUAUAAAAUAUAUUAUUACAGUAGACUCAUCCAACCGAGUAUCCUUUUGUCGGCUUUUACAUUUUAGUUUUAUAAUAACAAAUUUUUAUAGACAUAUAAAAGUACUUUGCAUGAUACAAAUUUUAAAUAUGUUUGUCAGAGAAACAUAUAUCGUUAACUAAUAUAUCAUAAAAGUGCGUAAGUGAUUAGUGCGGCCGUGUUAUUGACCCAAAUUGAUCAGCCUAAUUAAUUAGUAGAUAUGUAAAUGUUACAAUAUUUAAAUAUACCAUUAUAUUCGUAUCAUUAGCAAUAAUUAUGAAUAGCUCCGUAUAUCACUGUCAAAUAUAUAGAUAUCUAAAUAGAAUUUAAAUAAACAUUUUCAAUUAUACCAGUACUUAUUGUUAUCCACCAAUAUUGGAAAGCAUAUAUUACAAUUUUUAAAUAUUCAAAUUUCCAAACAUUCACAUUAUCAAACAUCUACAUUUCUCAAUACGUAUUUGCAAGUAUAUAAAAAGGGAGAAGAAUUAAAACAAAAGAAUUAAGAGUACGUUUCUGCAAUUUUAAUGAAUGAAUGAUUUAGGCCAUUACGUUGACGACGGAGAAGCUUAAACGUUUCUGAAUAUUCGUUCAAUUUUUCAGGAAGUCUGCCAAUCAUGCAAGGACGCCGCAUUUCGAGAUUCGAAUUGGCAAUUAGACAGAUUCAAGAUUCGCGUCUUCCGGUUGUGGAUCUCGAGGAUUAAUAUGCGUUUCGAAUCGUGCAGGGAAUCUGAGGAAUACAAAAAAUGAUCCUUCGUUUAAAAGUUAAUGGGUCGCACAACGUAAAGGAAACAUUAAAAUUCGCACGGGACAAUGAACAGUGACGAUAUUAAGUUUUACGAAAAUUAGAACAUCUAUAGACACGUAUAUCGUAAUUAGCAAUUUGGGAAUCAACUUUCUUGUUAUUUCUCGUUUCAAAUUUCGUGUUUUCCAACCUGCAUAAAUAUUGGGUGAGUAAAUAUUGGAGAGACUAGAGGCGAGACUGGUAAUAAAACAAAGUAAUCGAUUUUCGAUAUAUGUGUUUGGAAUGUGCAUGUAUAAACUGAUAAUUAAAAAAUGAUACAGCAAGAAUAGAAGCCUCGCGUCAUAAAAACUGACAUUUUGUGUACAAAUGAGUCGAUAUCUACUCUAUUCCUAAUUGCUUUGAUAAUAAUAUGUUACGCACGUAAAUAGUAAAUUAUUUUUAGUUCAUCUCUUGUAUCUCGCGUAAUGUCUAACUUGGCCUCUGCGAAUCUAAUGAAAUUAUCGUCGAAGACGUUAAAUGUCUGAAGGGAUCGUUAUCGUUGUUGUUGUUUCAGAUAUUGAAUAAUAUGGAUUUAAAGAUAAUGAUACUUAAAGAUUUAAUCGUUUAAAAUCAAAUUUGACAAUUUUUAAGCAACUUCACGGAUCUGUGCGACCCAAAAUGAAAAUUCUAUUACAUGAAUAUUAUUAAAAUAUAGAUAGCGCUGAAAUGUUUGGUUUUAGUAUUCAAUAUAUCCAAAUAUUAUUACUUUUUGUGUAUACUACGCCUUUUGUGACUAAGGUAUCUCAAAAUGUGACAGUGAAAAGAUAUCUAAAGGAAUGCAAAUGUGAAGGGACGAGGAGAAUAGCAGUGUUCGAAUCGAAAAAAGAUCGAAUCGAAUCGCAAUUUUUCAAGUUCGAAACCAACAAUGGAAGUUUGUACGACGACGAAGACCACCUAGCAGGCAAACCUAAGUACCUAAGUACACGCCUUAAAGAAGCGCGACGCGAUGGAGUAGAACGUGAAUCGAAGUCAAAUCGACUGCUCACGUGGUUCGUGAUUCACGGGACAAAACAGCGUGUGAGAGGAAGACCGUAAAGAGAACGUCAACAGAGGGAAAUGUCUUAGCGUUUACGCCGAGGAGAGUACUGUUACGAGUUGAUAGGUUGGUUCAGUGACAGGAGAAAAUAUCACUGUUAUAUUUAUCGGGAGCAGUUUUAUGCCACGCUACGAGUUCUUACGAGAUAAACACACGAAGCGCCGUGUUGGCAGUUUCAAGAUAUAUGUAGGUAAUAUAUAUUGCGCGCGCGUGUAUUCAAUAAGAAACAACUUUGUCUACGCGUGUGCAUAUCUUUUUCGGAGCAAUUAUAUCUAAGCACGAUAUCGUGCAGUGAUAAGUUUCGUAUCACUUGGUUCACUCAUAUUGCUUGAAGUAAUCGCGCGUUAUUUGCUACCGAGUAAUUGCGAGAUAAGACACUGGCCCAGAAACGUAUAAUAGCGAUGAGCUUGACUUUUUCAUUUUUAUUAACGACGAUUAAAAUUGCACUACCUGUAACGCAUACGAAUAAUCAAAGGGUGAAUAGAAGGAAGGAGGGAGGGAGGGAGGAAGAGAAAGAGAGAAAGAGAGAGAAAGGGAGACGCGCGUAAUUUUUGGUCGAGUCGUUGUGGUACGGUAGAGACCGCGAGGCGUAAAAAUAAAUGAACAACCGGUGAAUUAUCGUUUCGGUGAGCGAACCGAAAGAGAGGCGGGUGUACGAAGUCGUUUCCGUGGGACGGCGUCAAUUCGUUACGUCAUGUCAAAAGGAAAAACAACCGCACGAAGUGGUUGCGCUUCUAUUGGAAGCGAGCGUGGCAGCGUUA
Molecule: long non-coding RNA, 15941 nt
Organism: Bombus pyrosoma
Lineage: Eukaryota; Metazoa; Arthropoda; Insecta; Hymenoptera; Apidae
Exons: 3
Source: RefSeq, a predicted model, not a curated record